AUGUCUCUUGCCUCGCUCGGUCUGCCGUUUCCUCUCGGCUAAUCUUGAGCUGGAUGCAGUCGGUCACUUAAAAGUGCUGACUUGUACGAGACAAGAUGAAGCGUGAAAACGCGUCGACGCUUUUUGAGUACGAUUUGAUCCGCAAUGCACCACGGGUCUGCGUCGUAAUUUAUCAGUUGGGACAAAC
Small nucleolar RNA from Penicillium digitatum PHI26, 187 nucleotides. NCBI's taxonomy places the organism in Eukaryota, Fungi, Ascomycota, Eurotiomycetes, Eurotiales, Aspergillaceae. The record is from Rfam.